RNAcentral lists this ribosomal RNA (490 nucleotides) under uncultured bacterium. RNAcentral's name for it is "partial 16S ribosomal RNA". It matches the Rfam family "Bacterial small subunit ribosomal RNA", at positions 29 to 507 of the family's 1533-position model. The record is from RNAcentral.
AUUGAACGCUGGCGGCAUGCCUUACACAUGCAAGUCGAACGGCAUCGCGGGAAAGCUUGCUUUCCUGGCGGCGAGUGGCGAACGGGUGAGUAACACAUCGGAACGUACCGGCUAGUGGGGGAUAACCCGUCGAAAGACGGGCUAAUACCGCAUACGCUCUUCGGAGGAAAGCAGGGGACCUUUGGGCCUUGCGCUAGCCGAGCGGCCGAUGUCCGAUUAGCUAGUUGGUGGGGUAAAGGCCUACCAAGGCGACGAUCGGUAGCGGGUCUGAGAGGACGAUCCGCCACACUGGGACUGAGACACGGCCCAGACUCCUACGGGAGGCAGCAGUGGGGAAUCUUGGACAAUGGGGGCAACCCUGUUCCAGCAAUGCCGCGUGGGUGAAGAAGGCCUUCGGGUUGUAAAGCCCUUUCGGCAGGGAAGAAAUCGGCGGGGCGAAUAACCCUGCUGGAUGACGGUACCUGCAGAAGAAGCACCGGCUAACUACGUG